UGUGAAUAAUUUCCAUUCUUAUUUACUCCUAUCUGGCAGUAAAACGAAUAUCUUUGGGCUGUGGACACAACAAGACAUUUGAAGGCAACAC
Long non-coding RNA from Thalassophryne amazonica, 91 nucleotides. RefSeq lists it as uncharacterized. NCBI's taxonomy places the organism in Eukaryota, Metazoa, Chordata, Actinopteri, Batrachoidiformes, Batrachoididae. The transcript has 3 exons. The record is from RefSeq and is a predicted model, not a curated record.